AGAGGAGGGACAGGUGUCUGUACAGGGGUUCUGCCCUCAGUACCCACCUGCCUGUCCUCCAG
RNAcentral lists this microRNA precursor (62 nucleotides) under Mus pahari (shrew mouse). RNAcentral describes it as "microRNA 7000 (MGP_PahariEiJ_G0007345.1)". Lineage: Eukaryota; Metazoa; Chordata; Mammalia; Rodentia; Muridae. The record is from RNAcentral.